RNAcentral lists this transfer RNA (69 nucleotides) under Mesocricetus auratus (golden hamster). It matches the Rfam family "tRNA". From Rfam's summary of the family: Transfer RNA (tRNA) molecules are approximately 80 nucleotides in length. Their secondary structure includes four short double-helical elements and three loops (D, anti-codon, and T loops). Further hydrogen bonds mediate the characteristic L-shaped molecular structure. tRNAs have two regions of fundamental functional importance: the anti-codon, which is responsible for specific mRNA codon recognition, and the 3' end, to which the tRNAs corresponding amino acid is attached (by aminoacyl-tRNA synthetases). tRNAs cope with the degeneracy of the genetic code in two manners: having more than one tRNA (with a specific anti-codon) for a particular amino acid; and 'wobble' base-pairing, i.e. permitting non-standard base-pairing at the 3rd anti-codon position. The record is from Rfam by way of RNAcentral. Lineage: Eukaryota; Metazoa; Chordata; Mammalia; Rodentia; Cricetidae.
UGGGAUGUAGCUCAGUGGUAGAGCACUUACCUAACAUGCAAGAGAUCCUGGGUUCAGUCCCCAUUACAC